AGAAUCAACGCUGGCGGCGUGCCUAACACAUGCAAGUCGAACGAGAAAGUGGAGCAAUCCAUGAGUACAGUGGCGACCGGGUGAGUAACACGUGACUACCUACCCUUGAGUGGGGGAUAACCUCGGGAAACCGAGGCUAAUACCGCAUAAUAUCGAGAGAUCAAAGGAGUAAUCCGCUUUUGGAGGGGGUCGCGGCUGAUUAGCUAGUUGGUAGGGUAAAGGCCUACCAAGGCGACGAUCGGUAGCUGGUCUGAGAGGAUGAUCAGCCACAAUGGGACUGAGACACGGCCCAUACUCCUACGGGAGGCAGCAGUGGGGAAUUUUGUGCAAUGGGGGAAACCCUGACACAGCGACACCGCGUGAGCGAAGAAGCCCUUUGGGGUGUAAAGCUCUGUCGGCUGGAACGAAAAAAUGACGGUACCAGCAAAGGAAGCAUCGGCUAACUACGUGCCAGCAGCCGC
Molecule: ribosomal RNA, 461 nt
Filed under: uncultured bacterium
Lineage: Bacteria
Description: SSU rRNA
Rfam family: Bacterial small subunit ribosomal RNA
Source: RNAcentral